Long non-coding RNA from Solanum tuberosum (potato), 820 nucleotides. RefSeq lists it as uncharacterized. The record is from RefSeq and is a predicted model, not a curated record. NCBI's taxonomy places the organism in Eukaryota, Viridiplantae, Streptophyta, Magnoliopsida, Solanales, Solanaceae. The transcript has 3 exons.
UUCCAUUUCACUUCUCCUUUACUUUCUCUCUCUGCAAAAGACUCAUUAAUAAUCACAAAUAAAACAAAAACUAGUCAAGUCCCUUAGUCGGUGAACGAAGCUCCGGCCAUAUUUCCGACAUCGGCGAGUGCUCGACUGAAGCACCACUUUUAUCUGAGGCUCGACUGAAGAACUUUUAUCUGAGAAUUUAGGCGAAGCUGAAUCUCCGGUCACAUUUCGCCGGAAUGUCAGUUCUACCUUACCGGCGACUACUCUGCCGUGAAAAUAAUUUCAGUUAACAGUCCGCGAAUCCGAAUACACGGCCACAUUUUCUCCGGAACGUUAGUUUUUCGAUUCCACCGACCACUCUACGGGGUAAACACCUUUAAGCAAACGCACAUCGCAUUUAUCUGACUUCACUCUGUUGCUUUGAGCUGUGAAGCUUCUAGUGGAGCUGCUGGUGCUUUUUCUGUUUUCGCUUUCUGCAAUCCCUUUCGAUCUCAUUUUUCUAAGUUUCAGAAGGGAUUACUUGAUGUGCACUUUGGGAUUUAUGAUCUUCAUUAUGCAAUCUCAGGAAUUAAGAUGAAUGGACUUCAGAAUGGCAGGAGUCGUACUUAUGAUAAACCUUCUCCAGGAUGCUUGGGACGAAUGGUGAACCUUUUUGAUUUGAAUUCAGGGGUGGCAGGAAACAGGUUGCUUACAGAUAAACCACAUCGUGAUGGUUCACUCUCAAGGAGCCAAUCAGAUCUGGUGAGGUUGCCGCCAUCUUCUGAGGAUCAAGUAGAAGAAAAAAUGGUGCGUCCUCUAUCCAGGUGACAUUUAUAUAGAGAGGAAGGUGCUG